GGACCCGCACAAGCAGUGGAGCAUGUGGUUUAAUUCGACGCAACGCGAAGAACCUUACCAGCGUUUGACAUGGAAAGUGCCGGUUACAGAAUGGUAACCUUCAGUUCGGCUGGCUUUCGCACAGGUGCUGCAUGGCUGUCGUCAGCUCGUGUCGUGAGAUGUUGGGUUAAGUCCCGCAACGAGCGCAACCCCACGUCUUUAGUUGCCAGCAUUUAGUUGGGCACUCUAGAGAGACUGCCGUGAUAAACCGGAGGAAGGUGUGGAUGACGUCAAGUCAUCAUGCCCCUUACAUCUGGGCUACACACGUACUACAAUGCUACGGACAAAGGGCAGCAAGUUCGCGAGGACAAGC
Molecule: ribosomal RNA, 352 nt
Filed under: uncultured bacterium
Lineage: Bacteria
Description: bacterial SSU rRNA
Rfam family: Bacterial small subunit ribosomal RNA
Source: RNAcentral